Molecule: ribosomal RNA, 392 nt
Filed under: uncultured bacterium
Lineage: Bacteria
Description: bacterial SSU rRNA
Rfam family: Bacterial small subunit ribosomal RNA
Source: RNAcentral
UAACAUCCGGAAACGGGUGCUAAUACCGCAUAGUUUUCUUGAUCGCAUGAUUGAGAAAGGAAAGAUGGCCUUUGUGCUGUCGCUUAUGGAUGGACCCGCGGCGUAUUAGUUAGUUGGUGAGGUAACGGCUCACCAAGACGAUGAUACGUAGCCGACCUGAGAGGGUGAUCGGCCACAUUGGGACUGAGACACGGCCCAAACUCCUACGGGAGGCAGCAGUAGGGAAUCUUCCGCAAUGGACGAAAGUCUGACGGAGCAACGCCGCGUGAGUGAAGAAAAGGUUUUCGGAUCGUAAAACUCUGUUGUCAGAGAAGAACAAGUUGGAGAGUAACUGCUCCAGCCUUGACGGUAUCUGACCAGAAAGCCACGGCUAACUACGUGCCAGCCGCGGC